AUUGAACGCUGGCGGCAUGCUUUACACAUGCAAGUCGAACGGUAACAGGUUAAGCUGACGAGUGGCGAACGGGUGAGUAAUGCAUCGGAACGUGCCCGAUCGUGGGGGAUAACGCAGCGAAAGCUGCGCUAAUACCGCAUACGAUCUGAGGAUGAAAGCGGGGGACCGUAAGGCCUCGCGCGAUCGGAGCGGCCGAUGUCAGAUUAGGUAGUUGGGGGGGUAAAGGCCGACCAAGCCAACGAUCUGUAGCUGGUCUGAGAGGACGACCAGCCACACUGGGACUGAGACACGGCACAGACUCCUACGGGAGGCAGCAGUGGGGAAUUUUGGACAAUGGGCGAAAGCCUGAUCCAGCAAUGCCGCGUGCAGGAAGAAGGCCUUCGGGUUGUAAACUGCUUUUGUACGGAGCGAAAAGGUCUCCUCUAAUACAGGGGGCUCAUGACGGUACCGUAAGAAUAAGCACCGGCUAACUACGUGCCAGCAGCCGCGGUAA
Molecule: ribosomal RNA, 493 nt
Filed under: uncultured bacterium
Lineage: Bacteria
Description: partial 16S ribosomal RNA
Rfam family: Bacterial small subunit ribosomal RNA
Source: RNAcentral